This 405-nucleotide ribosomal RNA is filed under the name uncultured bacterium. Its description in RNAcentral is "partial 16S ribosomal RNA". It matches the Rfam family "Bacterial small subunit ribosomal RNA", at positions 30 to 526 of the family's 1533-position model. The record is from RNAcentral.
AUUGAACGCUGGCGGGAUGCAUUACACAUGCAAGUCGAACGAGUGGCGGACGGGUGAGCAAUAUAUCGGAACGUGCCCAGUAGCGGGGGAUAAGUACGCGAAAGAGUGGCUAAUAGCGCAUACUAUAGGAGCGACCGAUAUCGGAUGAGCUAGUGGGUGGGGUAAAGGCGAACCAAGGCAACGAUCCGUAGCUGGUUUGAGAGGACGACCAGCCACACUGGGACUGAGACACGGCCCAGACUCCUACGGGAGGCAGCAGUGGGGAAUUUUGGACAAUGGGGGAAACCCUGAUCCAGCCAUCCCGCGUGUAUGAGAAGGCCUUCGGGUUGUAAAGUACUUUUGGCAGAGAAGCGGUAUCUGCAGAAUAAGCACCGGCUAACUACGUGCCAGCAGCCGCGGUAAUUC